This is a small nuclear RNA of Cricetulus griseus (Chinese hamster), 167 nucleotides long. Its record names the gene U1. It matches the Rfam family "U1 spliceosomal RNA". From Rfam's summary of the family: U1 is a small nuclear RNA (snRNA) component of the spliceosome (involved in pre-mRNA splicing). Its 5' end forms complementary base pairs with the 5' splice junction, thus defining the 5' donor site of an intron. There are significant differences in sequence and secondary structure between metazoan and yeast U1 snRNAs, the latter being much longer (568 nucleotides as compared to 164 nucleotides in human). The record is from Ensembl. NCBI's taxonomy places the organism in Eukaryota, Metazoa, Chordata, Mammalia, Rodentia, Cricetidae.
AAAAUUACCCAGCAGGGAAGAUGCCACGAUCAAGAAGUUGGUUUUCCCAGGGUGAAUCUCACCCAUUGCACGCUGGGUAUCCUGGCUCCUGCAAUUUCCCCAAAUGCAGGCAACUCAGCUGCAUGAUUUGUGGGGAUAGUUGUGGAUAGUAUUUGAGCUUUUCCCUU